UCAAGCUUGAUGAUCUCAGCUAUAGAGGCAGGGCCAUUCGAGGGGAGACCAGCACGCUGCGUGGGGGAAAAAAAAGGUGAGCAAAAACACUAUUUUUAAACACACAUAUACACCAUGACAGACACAGAAACACACAUAUACCAUGACAGAUACACACCCCAUGACAGAUACACACCCCAUGACAGACACACACACACCAUGACAGACCAUGACACAGACAGACCCACACACACACACACCAUGACACAGACAGACACACACACCAUGACGGACAGACACACACACCCCAUGACGGACAGACAGACACACACCCCAUGACGGACAGACAGACACACACCC
This is a non-coding RNA of Pelobates cultripes (western spadefoot toad), 339 nucleotides long. The record is from the annotation of a GenBank genome assembly. NCBI's taxonomy places the organism in Eukaryota, Metazoa, Chordata, Amphibia, Anura, Pelobatidae.